Molecule: ribosomal RNA, 329 nt
Filed under: uncultured Bacillota bacterium
Lineage: Bacteria; Bacillati; Bacillota
Description: bacterial SSU rRNA
Rfam family: Bacterial small subunit ribosomal RNA
Source: RNAcentral
GACGAACGCUGGCGGCGUGCUUAACACAUGCAAGUCGAGCGAGAGAAUCUGGUGCUUGCACCAGAGGAUCUAGCGGCGGACGGGUGAGUAACACGUGGGCAACCUGCCCUAAGGAGGGGAAUAACAGGCCGAAAGGUCUGCUAAUACCGCAUAAGACCAUAGCUUCGCAUGGAGCAGUGGUUAAAGAUUUAUCGCCUUAGGAUGGGGCCCGCGGCGCAUUAGCUAGUUGGUAAGGUAACGGCUUACCAAGGCGACGAUGCGUAGCCGACCUGAGAGGGUGAUCGGCCACAUUGGGACUGAGACACGGCCCAGACUCCUACGGGAGGCUG